CUACGGGACGCAGCAGUGAGGAAUAUUGCACAAUGGGGGGAACCCUGAUGCAGCAGCGCCGCGUGGAGGAUGACGCAUUUCGGUGUGUAAACUCCUUUUAUAUGUCAAGAAAAUGACGGUAGCAUAUGAAUAAGCACCGGCUAACUCCGUGCCAGCAGCCGCGGUAAUACGGAGGGUGCAAGCGUUACUCGGAAUCACUGGGCGUAAAGGACGCGUAGGCGGGUUGGAAAGUCAGGUGUGAAAUCCUACAGCUUAACUGUAGAACUGCACUUGAAACUUCUAAUCUAGAGUAUGGGAGGGGGAGAUGGAAUUAGUGGUGUAGGGGUAAAAUCCGUAGACAUCACUAGGAAUACCUAAAGCGAAGGCGAUCUCCUGGAACAUUACUGACGCUAGGGCGUGAAAGCGUGGGGAGCAAACAGGAUUAGAUACCCGCGUAGUC
This 439-nucleotide ribosomal RNA is filed under the name uncultured bacterium. RNAcentral's name for it is "partial 16S ribosomal RNA". It matches the Rfam family "Bacterial small subunit ribosomal RNA", at positions 339 to 795 of the family's 1533-position model. The record is from RNAcentral.